AGUGUCCCAAACGCUAGAAAAUAUAGCAAAUGUUUUCAUGAUAAACAGAGGCUUUAUAUCUGUAAUAAGAUAAGGAAUAAUUGGACAAUUUCAAUAUAUUUCUCCAUUGAAGUAAGUGGGUAUAUAUACAUAUUACAAGGCCUUGUUAAGGCAACUCCUAAUAAUCCUCUAUCAAUCACUUAGCUUAUGAUUAUAUAAUUUCCUAUGAUUAUAUAAUUUCCUAUGAUUAUGUAAUCUCCUAUAAUUAUGUACAAAUUAUGUUCACACUCUAACACUCCCCCUCAAGUUGGAUCAUAGAUAUUUAUCAUGCCCAACUUGUUAGAAAGAUAUUCUAUUCGAGGCUCAUUUAAAGCUUUGGUGAGUAUAUCACCCAAUUGCUCUCCUGUCUUCACAUAACUGGUGGAGAUUAAAUUUUCUUGAAUUUUCUCUCGGAUGAAAUGACAAUCAAUUUCAAUAUACUUAGUCCGUUCAUGGUAUACUAGAUUGGAAGCAAUGUGAAGAGCAGCUUGAUUAUCACACCAAAAUUUCGCGGGUGAUGCAACAUCCAUACCAAUUUCCUUCAGCAGAUGAUUUAUCCAUUGAAUCUCCCAAGUAGAUUGAGCCAUGGCCUUAUAUUUUGACGUGGCACUGAAUCUGAAUACCACAUUUUGCUUCUUACUUUUCCAAGACACCAGGUUUCUUCCAACAAAUACACAGUAGCCUGUAGUCGACCUUCUAUCACUUUUGGAUUCCGCACAGUCAGCAUCAGAAAAACACUCAAGUGCAGUAUGCCCAUGAUAUCUGUAGAGUAUAUCCAGUCUAGAAAUCCCUUUUAGAUAACAUAAAAUUUGUUCCAGAGCGGCCCAAUGUUUCGCCGUAGGUGCAGACAUGAACUAGCUUACAAUGCUUACUGCAAAAGCAAUAUCUAGCCGAGUCAUCGCCAUAAGGUAGUUCAACUUUUCAACCAACCUCCUGUACCUCUCUAGAUCAUCAUAAGGGUCUCCAUCACCUUUUAUAAGACAUAUAUUAGGAAUCAUUGGUGUGCUACAUGGUUUAGCUCCCAUCUUUCUAGUUUCUGCAAGUAAGUCAAGGACAUACUUCCUUUGAGACAGAAAAAUUCUUUUUUUACUCCUCAAGACUUCGACUCCUAAGGAAUACUUAAGCUGACUCAAGUCUUUAGCAUGAAAACUCGCAUGCAAGUAGUUUUUGAGAGAAGAGAUCCCUGUACUAUCAUUCCCUGUAAUAACAAUAUCAUCAACAUAUACAAUAAGGAGAAUAAUACCAGUAUCUGAAUUUCUAUAGAAGACUGAAUGGUCACACUUGCAUUUUUUCAAUCAAAUGUUUGAACAACUUCACUGAACUUGCCAAACCAUGCACGGGGACUCUACUUCAAACCAUACAAAGAUUUCUUUAAAUGGCAGACUUUCUCAUACUCCCCCUGAGCAAGAAUCCCUGGUGGUCGCUCCAUAUACACCUCCUCUUGGAGGUCACCAUGUAAAAAUGCAUUCUUAGUAUUUAAUUGGUGUAAAGGCCAAUGCUGAGAAGCAGCUAGGGAGAUAAACAAGCGAAUUGAGGUCAUUUUUGCCACAGGAGAAAAAAUGUCAGAAUAGUCAACGCCAUGGGUUUAACAUAACCUUUAGCGACAAGACGGGCAUUAAGCCUCGAUAUGGAGCCAUCUGGAUUGACUUUGAUGGCAAAAACCCAUUUACAGCCCACAGCCUUCUUGCCAGAGGGUAAAUCAAUUAGUUCUCAAGUAUGAUUUUUCAUCUAGAGUCUUGAUCUCCUCAAACAUUGCAUCACGCCAUCUAGAAUGAGGCAGGGCCUCUUUAACUGUCUUGGGCAAAGAAAUGGAAUUUAGAGAGACUAUCAAGGAAGUAGAAGAAGGAUAUAGGUGAUCAUAAGACAGAAAGUUAGCAACAGAAUAGAUAGAUUUACACUGUCGUUUACCUUUACGAAGAGUAAUGGGGAGGUCAAGGUCACUUGGUGGUGGAUCUGAUGGCGAAGAAGAUUCUGGUGCAGGACAUGUAUCAUCAGGUACUGGUCUCCGAGAGUAAACUUGAACAACUGACGAUUAACAGGAGGCUGAGUAUUAGAAGGAAUGUUACCAUCAGAAGACAUACUCGAAGAGGUCCCAUUAUCAUAUAUGAUUCUAUAGAUGAGCCACUCAUCAUCAUCCUUUUGAUCAGGAGAUGUUUGUAUAACAGGAUAAAAAAGAACUUGCUCAGAAAAGACUACAUCUGUUGAGACCAGAUAUUUGUUGAGGUUUGGAGAGUAACACCGAUAUCUCUUCUGAAGGCGAGAAUAUCCCAAAAAAACACACUUCAAAGCUUUAGGAUCAAGUUUAGUCACGUAAGGUCUGACAUUCCGAACAUAGCUAGUACUGCCAAACAGUCGUGGUUUGAGAGGAAAUAAUAGCUUCUUAGGAAAGAGGACAUUAUAAGGAGUAUUACUGUUUAGUACUGCGGAGGGCAUGCGAUUAAUGAGAAAGUAUGCAGUAGAGACAGCAUCGGCCCAAAAUUGCUUAGGAACUUGCAUUUGAAACAACAGAGCUCUAGCAGUCUCAAGGAGAUGUCGAUUCUUUCUUUCAGCUACUCCAUUUUGAGCGGGUGUAUCAACACAUGACAAUUGGUGAAGUAUAUUAUGUUGAGACAUAUAAGCCUGGAAUGAUUCUGACAUAUAUUCUUUAGCAUUGUCGCUUAGCAAAAUUUGCAUAGAAACAUUAAAUUGAGUUUUGAUUUCAACACGGAAGGCAGAAGAAUGAGAAAACACUUCCGAACAUUGCUUCAUAAAAUAAAUCCAAGUCAUUCUAGAGUAAUCCACAAAAGUGAUAAAAUAUCUGAAUCCAGUUUUAGAUCCAACCGGGCAUGGGUCCCAAACAUUUGAAUGAACUAAUUCAAAAGCAGACUCAGCUCGUUUAUUGACUCUAGGACUUAGAGCUUGGAUGAUGUUUUGCAAAAUGAUAUGACUUAUUUUUCAAUAAAGAUACCUUAUGAAAUUGAGGGCAUAACUUCUUCAAAACCGGUAAAGAAGGGUGUCCUAACCGACAAUGUACUUCAAACAGAGACAUGACACUGGAGCAGGCAACAGACUGAGGCACCCAUGCAUCUAAAAUGUAGAGACCUCCAAAUACAUGUCCUUUACCAAUAAUCUGCUUCGUCACAAGAUCCUGAAUGAGACAAUGAUCAUGAAUGAGACAAUGAUCAGGAAAAAGGAAAAUACAAGAAUUUAGGUCUUUGGUAAGUUUACUCACAGAGAUUAAAUUAAAGGCAAGAUUAGGUAAACUUAGCACAGAUGAUAAGGUAAUAGAAGGAGUAGGUUUAAUAGUCUCAGAACCCUCAACAUUAUAGGUUGAUCCAUCAGCUAUAAUAAUAGGAGAAGGUGCUUUAUGAGAUCGAAAUCUAGUAAAAAUAUGAGGAUUACCUGUCAUGUGAUCCGUGGCACCAGAGUCAAUGACCCAUUUAUAUGAAGAGGAAAUAAAACACGUUUUAUCUGUCUCAGCCGCUACUGAAGACGUUGGGAUAAUUUUAAUAAUAUGGGUCUUACUGUCAGAAACCAUUUUAACCAAAAUCCUAUCCUCUUAUACCUUCAAACGAAUUAAAGAAAGAUAACAAAACCUAACCUAGUGAACAGUAUAACAAAAACCCGCCUCUACCCAACACCCAAACAACAAACGAACCAUAGAUCUGACAAGGGGGCUACAAGACAACUUUGGCGUCCUCCCUAGGUAGACGGUGAGAGACAAAUAUUAUCCUAGAUAGGUAACACAAAAGAACAGGAGCCCUAAGUCUCCAAAAAUUUAAAACUUGACGGAAGAGAAAAAAUUAAAUCUUUACAGGAAUGGCUCUGAUACCAUGUAAUAAGAUAAUGAAUUAUUGGGCAAUUUCAGUAUAUUUCUCCAUUGAAGUAAGUGAGUAUAUGUACAUAUUAUAAGGACUUGUUAAAACAACUCCUAAUAAUCCUUUAUCAAUCAAUUAGCCUAUGAUUAUGUAAUCUCCUAUAAUUAUGUACAUAUUAUGUUCA
This 3999-nucleotide long non-coding RNA is filed under the name Manihot esculenta (cassava). RNAcentral describes it as "long non-coding RNA (MESC_LNC011509)". Lineage: Eukaryota; Viridiplantae; Streptophyta; Magnoliopsida; Malpighiales; Euphorbiaceae. The record is from RNAcentral.